GUGGAGACUUUAAUAUCAUUGCAAAAGGAAUUUGAAGUAUUACAAGGCUGGAUUGGUGAUAUUUUGUCUUCCAUCACCUUUUACAUAUGAUUGGAUCAAUUGUAGCAGCAGUGAUCUACCUCGCAUUACAGCACUGUACUUGAGCAAAUUCAAUCUAUCAGGAUCACUUCCAGAUUUUAGUUCCAUGGAUGCUCUUGAGACAAUUGAUUUGAGUAACAACGAUUUGGAUGGACCUAUUCCUGAUUUUUUUGGCACAUUACCGAAUCUAAAAGAACUGAAUUUAGCAAAUAACAAGUUCAGUGGACCAGUCCCUGCUUCAUUGUCAAACAAAAAUGGCCUAACCAUAGA
Molecule: long non-coding RNA, 348 nt
Organism: Solanum stenotomum
Lineage: Eukaryota; Viridiplantae; Streptophyta; Magnoliopsida; Solanales; Solanaceae
Exons: 4
Source: RefSeq, a predicted model, not a curated record